This 500-nucleotide ribosomal RNA is filed under the name uncultured soil bacterium. Its description in RNAcentral is "bacterial SSU rRNA". It matches the Rfam family "Bacterial small subunit ribosomal RNA", at positions 26 to 518 of the family's 1533-position model. The record is from RNAcentral.
AGGACGAACGCCGGCGGCGCGCUUAACACAUGCAAGUCGAGCGAGAACCGGGGCUUCGGCCCCGGGGACAGCGGCGAACGGGUGAGUAACACGUGGGUAAUCUGCCCUCGGCACCGGGAUAGCCCGGGGAAACUCGGAUUAAUACCGGAUAGCCCGCCCGCCUUUCGAGGCGGUCGGAAAAGGUAGCUUAGGCCUCUGGCCGAGGAUGAGCCCGCGGCGGAUUAGCUUGUUGGUGAGGUAAUGGCUCACCAAGGCGACGAUCCGUAGCUGGUCUGAGAGGACGAUCAGCCACACUGGGACUGAGACACGGCCCAGACUCCUACGGGAGGCAGCAGUGGGGAAUCUUGCGCAAUGGGCGAAAGCCUGACGCAGCGACGCCGCGUGCGGAAGAAGGCCUUGGGUUGUAACCGCUUUCAGGAGGACGAAGCUACUCGGUGAAUAGCCCAGAGGUGACGGUACCUCCGAGAAGAAGCCCCGGACUAACUACGUGCCAGCAGCGC